GCAUCAGACCUCUAAUCGGAAAAGACUACCCGCUGAGUUUAAGCAUAUCAAUAAGCGGGAAGGG
This 64-nucleotide ribosomal RNA is filed under the name Thamnobryum plicatulum. Its description in RNAcentral is "partial 26S ribosomal RNA". Lineage: Eukaryota; Viridiplantae; Streptophyta; Bryopsida; Hypnales; Neckeraceae. The record is from RNAcentral.